Non-coding RNA from Anolis sagrei ordinatus, 528 nucleotides. Lineage: Eukaryota; Metazoa; Chordata; Lepidosauria; Squamata; Anolidae. The record is from RefSeq and is a predicted model, not a curated record.
ACCUGGUCCUGACCGCCUCAUGGGUCCCGCGCAACGCCCUGCAGCUCUGGGACCUGCGCACCACUUGCCUGUGCCAAGACCUGCCCUUCCCCGGGAGCCCCACUCAAGGGGAGUUUCUUUACGGCGCCCGGUUCUGCGCAAGGGACAUGGUGGUGGCCGGAGGCAGCGGCACUGGCGGGGCCAGCGUCAUCCACACCGGCACAGGGAAGGUGGCUGGAGAGAUCCUGCUGCCCAGUAAGCCGGUCCAUGUGGUGGCAUCGGCUCCUGGAGGGACCACGCUUGCUGUGGCCGGUGCUGGAGGGAACCUCCACCUUGCGCAGCUCCACUAAGGCUGCUCUGCCCUGGAAGGCAUGAGCAACCUCCUCCCCAGCAGCAGAAGGAAGAUGAAGGAGCAGAGGCCAGUUAGAACUUCUAAGUGAAGCUGCUUCUGUGACCCCAGGUUCCCACUGUUUUUCCCCCCACCAUCACCCCACAACAGCAUUGGAGUGGGGCAGCCUCAGCCAUGUGCAAUAAAGUGACCUGAGCAGA